CCGAGUCCGUGAUGAUGGAAAGUUAUCCCUGUCUGAAGGCGCAGCGAGCCUGGCUGUGGAGCGUGGAGGUCUGAGACUCGG
Oryctolagus cuniculus (rabbit) is the source of this 81-nucleotide small nucleolar RNA. Ensembl annotates it as small nucleolar RNA, C/D box 1B. Its record names the gene SNORD1B. The record is from Ensembl. NCBI's taxonomy places the organism in Eukaryota, Metazoa, Chordata, Mammalia, Lagomorpha, Leporidae.